Transfer RNA from Felis catus (domestic cat), 73 nucleotides. It matches the Rfam family "tRNA". Rfam says of the family: Transfer RNA (tRNA) molecules are approximately 80 nucleotides in length. Their secondary structure includes four short double-helical elements and three loops (D, anti-codon, and T loops). NCBI's taxonomy places the organism in Eukaryota, Metazoa, Chordata, Mammalia, Carnivora, Felidae. The record is from Rfam.
ACCUGGCUGGCUCAGUCAGUAGAGCCUGCGACUCUUGAUCUCAGGGUUGUGAGUUCAAGCCCCAUGUUAGGUG